Molecule: long non-coding RNA, 1103 nt
Filed under: Anas platyrhynchos platyrhynchos (common mallard)
Lineage: Eukaryota; Metazoa; Chordata; Aves; Anseriformes; Anatidae
Description: lncRNA (ENSAPLG00000028135.1)
Source: RNAcentral
AUGCAGAAUUUGUUACCCUUACUACAUGAAAACUCAUUUAAACACACAUCUAACUCCACCAGUACGAGAUUCUCUGUGGAUGUGCUUUACAUACUUAUUAUUAACAAUUUGUGCCUAGGACUGCUAAGGGAAAAAUUGGUGGGUGGAUGUGUGUACGGACAUCUGUUUGUGCAUGCGUAUACACCCACACACGUAUAUUGGGAAAACCCAAAAUUUGUUUCAAGUUUAAUUUUUUCAGCUUCCCCAGCAGAAGUAAGAGGAUUCAUGUUUGUAACGUCAGCUUAUCCUAAGCAAACAUUCAAGCAAGCUACACUGAAAUUUGGGCAGUUUUUUUUUUUUUUUAAAGAAAAAAAAAACUUUUCAAACCUUUGAAUCUCUUAAUUUGACAGCAAUUUGUAAAUGUUAACUAAGUGAAACCUUGGCAAGCACUACGGCAAUAAGUUAUCAUUAAUUAUUGAAACAUGAUAACUGCUUUAGAGCUUAUGGUUCUGGCAGCAAAAUUUAAUGCUGUUUCUUUUAAUAAUAGUUAAGCCAUAUCAUCUAAGGUUUCUGGCUUGUUUGAGAUGUGAAUUUGUUUUAUAGAUUAUAAAUAUACCUAUAUAGUGUAUGUAUAAAGCAGAAUGCCUGUCCUUACUGAUUAUUUUUUGUACCAUAUUGUAAAUUAUAUUAUUUAUUCUUUACCAAUUUUGGAAAAAGGUGUUUUGGUUAUUUAAUAUAAUAUACAAAAGCUGUUAAACUUCCUCUGUUUAAAUUUCCAAUUCAACUUGUAAAGCUGUUUUUAUUCUUGUGCAUAAAUACAUACUAAUACUUGGUCUAACUCAUGUCCAGUGUGUUAUUUGCAGUUCAUAUCUUAUCAAAUCUUCCAUUUAAUUUCCAUUUACGUAGUAAUGACCCCAUUAGAAUCCUGGGGAUAAAAGUGUGUCCAUAAUGCUGAGUUUUUCAAGGUGAAAUUCUGGUUCCAUUGAACUCAAUGCCAUAAUUUCCAUCAUCUCCCAUCCCCAAAUUGUCAUGAUUUUCACUGGGGUGAGAGAAAGUUUUGAUUUUGGGGUUGUGUAGUUCUUUUUUAUGCCUUCCAGCUUCCGUUCCCCAUAGCAUCCCCUAAC